RNAcentral lists this ribosomal RNA (834 nucleotides) under Triticum aestivum (bread wheat). RNAcentral's name for it is "partial small subunit ribosomal RNA". The record is from RNAcentral. Lineage: Eukaryota; Viridiplantae; Streptophyta; Magnoliopsida; Poales; Poaceae.
AUGGACUAUCCAUUCAAGGUUCUAGAUUGGCUGUUGCAUCAAGCGCGGAAGUCCUCCAAACAACAAGUGAUCAAAUAUAAUGAAAAAGAAAUGAUCUAUCAAAUCGAUGAGCCGGGUGGGACAACAAGGGACGGUAGGUCCUAUGGUGGAGUUGCUUACGAGGUGCACAUGAAAAACCGUUGGUGCCGGUGUGAGAGGCCACACAAGUAUCAUUGGCCUUGCUCGCAUUUGAUGACCGCAGAACGGGCGAGAAACGUGCCCGUAUCCAAUGGCACAACGGUGCAGUUGCACAAGUUCACAUUGGAACGAACAAGGUUGACGUGGGCGCCUCGGUUUAAUCCUUUCCUUGAUGCCUCACGGUGGCCUGAGUAUCACGGCCCAGACAUUGUGCCAGAUCCCGCACUCAUGGUGCCUAUGAGGGGAAGAAGAAGAAAGAAGAGGUUCAGGAGUGACAUGGAUGAUCUAGCUGGAUACACCGGAAUGAAGCAAUUUGGUAGUGGUCAUUUCAUGGAGGCAUCGGACACCAACAAUUGUGGAGAAUGCAACGAAACAGGACACAACGUUAGGAGAUGCACGAAAAAACCUAGAACCAACAUGGGCACUAGUCAAACACGUGUAGGGAGGACUAGCCUUGGAGUGGGCCGUGGCCGUCGAGGAAGGACUAGCCUUGGAGGGGGCCGUGGUCGUGGAGGAAGGACUAGCCUUGGAGGGGGCCGUGGCCGUGGAGGAAGGACUAGCCUUGGAGGGGGCCAUGGUCGUGGAUCCGGUGGUUCUAGUACACGUCGGGUUGAUAGGGGAAGGCCUAUCGACGUGUUGCUCAAUCCGGAUGGUUGA